Molecule: RNA transcript, 2530 nt
Organism: Coffea arabica (coffee)
Lineage: Eukaryota; Viridiplantae; Streptophyta; Magnoliopsida; Gentianales; Rubiaceae
Gene name: probable beta-1,4-xylosyltransferase IRX9H
Source: RefSeq, a predicted model, not a curated record
UAUUCCAAAAACGUAAGCUUGUCCGAUGCAUCGGUUGACAGACUCUCUCACGGUCACGGUCACGGUCACAGGCCAGCUUGCAGUCCCAUCCGCUUCUUCGGCUUUCCUUCCCCACUCCCCAGUACAUCUCCCCGCUUCCGGCGGUAAAAUUAGAACAAAAAAGCUACUAGUGGUGGUAGGGUAGGAGUAUAAUAAUUUGAGCUCCAGCCGGCUUCAACAGAAUUUGAUUUCUUUCCAGAUUCAUAAUCCUCCAUAUCUUCACCACUCGAGAUGUAAAUUUCUUCUUUGAUCACUCUUCUAAAUCUUCUGGAUCUCCUUUUCUACCCAAAAUUAUCACCUCCACCUGGAUCUCUCACCUCCAUUGUUAGUUUUUACCUCAAGUCCGUAAGCGUUUUCCUUUUCAAUCAUUUCUUUUUUUUACUUGCUCAUUUGUAAGUUAAAGUUGAAUCUCAGCUCUUCAUUUCUUUGUGAAGCUCAUUUUUCAGGUGAAUUUUUUUUCCUAAAAGUUAAUUAAUUUCGUGGAAUACCUCGAUUUUAACGAAGCUAUGCAGUAGGACUGUUGCAUUUUUCAUUUGAAACUUAUGCAUUUAACGUUGAAUUGGUUAAAUUUCUUUGUAAAUUUGUAAAAUUUUGAUUAAUUUAUGUAACGAAAUUAAUCAGCUCUAUGCUUUCUAGAUUAGUAAGGUAGUAGUAGAACUUAGUAAUAUAAAUGUCAUCGCUGCUAAGAACGCUGUCGCUGUACCACGAUCGGCCGUAUCAGAACGGAGGAAAUCAAUUUUCCGUUAACUCGCCGUCUCACAGGGCGUUAUCCAAUGCCAAAAGUUCGUCUCCGUUGUCGCCGUUCUUUCCCGGUGUACUUUCACAAAAAAGUUCGCGUAAAGGCAUGAGCUCGUGGAAAAAAUGGUUUUUUAGGUGUUUGAUAUUUUUCUCGCUGGGGUUUCUAUUAGGCAUGGCUCCCUUUGGGGGAUAUGAGGAUGUUAAAGGCCGUGAUUUCUCGUUCGAGGAGAAUACCAUGGCAAAGUCGGCAGAAAAUGAUGAGGGGGAUGUGAGGAAUUUGUUGGUUGUGGAGGCGAAAGGUGGGGAAGGUUUAGUCGUGGAUAAAGUUGAAUUACGGGUUGUUGAGGAAAAAGAAGUGAAGGAGCGGUUUGAUUUUGUUCCACGGAAGCAGUUGAUUGUGGUGACACCGACGUAUAAUAGGGCACUUCAAGCUUAUUAUUUAAAUAGGUUAGGACAGGUUCUGAGGCUGGUGCCGCCGCCAUUGUUAUGGAUUGUGGUAGAGAUGAAUGUUGCAUCGUUGGAGACUGCAGAUAUUUUGAGGAAGACUGGGGUUAUGUACAGGCAUUUGGUGACUACCAAGAAUUUGACGGAUGUAAAGGACAAGAGCGUGCAUCAAAGAAACACAGCACUGGAGCAUAUUGAGAAUCAUAAGCUUGAUGGGGUUGUGUAUUUUGCUGAUGAUGAUAGUAUCCAUUCACUCGAGUUAUUCGAGUGCUUGAGAGAAAUCAGGCGUUUUGGUACUUGGCCGGUUGCAAUGUUGGCUCAAACUUGGAAUAAGGUGGAGUUGGAAGGUCCCGUCUGUAAUGGGAGUCAAGUAAUUGGAUGGCAUACAAAUAAGAGUAAAGGACUUCGUAGAUUCCACAUCGAUAUGUCAGGUUUUGCUUUCAAUAGUACAAUAUUGUGGGAUCCAAAAAGAUGGCAACGUCCAACUUCAGAUCCAAUUCGGCAGUUAGAUACUGUGAAGGAGGGUUUUCAUGGAACCACAUUUAUCGAGCAAGUUGUAGAAGAUGAAAGCCAAAUGGAAGGCCUUCCUCUUGGUUGUUCAAAGAUACUGAAUUGGCACCUCAAGCUGGAAGCACGUGAACUUUUUAAUUCUAAAGCUUCACUGCUGCAGAAGAACCUUGAUGCUUGAGCUAAUUGUUGCAAUUUACACUGGCCAAUAUACCUUUUGAUGCAGCAUAUUGUGGUAGACCACCUUCAUCUAAAAGCAGGGCAUUGCAUCAUGUGAUCCUCCACAAGCUGAAGCAGUUCAUGUUGGAACAUAGACGUUGAAGCAAGAAUCAGGAACUUUUGUUUGUAGCUGUUUUCUGUUUUCAUGCCAUUUUUGGUAAUAGCGAGGAACAUUCCGUAUAAUGGUGGAAGGGGAGGAGGAGCAUAGUAGGAACAGGAUCUUCUGCCAGUGUGUUUUCUACGUAAAGCCCCUUGAACUUUUGACUCAGUUCCAAUGAUCACUUUCCUUGCCAAACAAUCUGGAGUCCUUUUCAAUGGGGGCCCAAAAGUCAGACAAUUAUGGAGCAAUCUCUAGUCUUCGAUACAAAGUCCUUUUAGCCUAAAACCUCUUAUCUUUAGCAAAAUUCCUCCAUUGGUUGCUGCGCCAUAGUUACUCUAAAAAGCUAGCAGGCAAGCGAUCCUAUUGCCUCCUAUGCAUACAUCAGGAUGGUAAUAGCUUCUAUAUACUCUGAUGUGGUGGCCUCUUGACUGGUAAUUGUAAAUGAAUUAGGACACAUGAAAAGGAACAAGUCUUUUAUUUUAA